This 468-nucleotide ribosomal RNA is filed under the name uncultured bacterium. RNAcentral's name for it is "partial 16S ribosomal RNA". It matches the Rfam family "Bacterial small subunit ribosomal RNA", at positions 28 to 507 of the family's 1533-position model. The record is from RNAcentral.
GACGAACGCUGGCGGCGUGCUUAACACAUGCAAGUCGAACGGAAAGGCACUGCUUUUGUGGGGUGCUCGAGUGGCGAACGGGUGAGUAACACGUGAGUAACCUGCCCUUGACUUUGGGAUAACUUCAGGAAACUGGGGGUAAUACCGGAUAGGAGCUCCUGCUGCAUGGUGGGGGUUGGAAAGUUUCGGCGGUUGGGGAUGGACUCGCGGCUUAUCAGCUUGUUGGUGGGGUAGUGGCUUACCAAGGCUUUGACGGGUAGCCGGCCUGAGAGGGUGACCGGCCACAUUGGGACUGAGAUACGGCCCAGACUCCUACGGGAGGCAGCAGUGGGGAAUAUUGCACAAUGGGCGGAAGCCUGAUGCAGCAACGCCGCGUGCGGGAUGACGGCCUUCGGGUUGUAAACCGCUUUCGCCUGUGACGAAGCGUGAGUGACGGUAAUGGGUAAAGAAGCACCGGCUAACUACGUG